AGCGAACGCUGGCGGCAGGCCUAACACAUGCAAGUCGAACGGAUCCUUCGGGAUUAGUGGCGGACGGGUGAGUAACACGUGGGAACGUGCCCUUUGGUUCGGAACAACUCAGGGAAACUUGAGCUAAUACCGGAUGUGCCCUUCGGGGGAAAGAUUUAUCGCCAUUGGAGCGGCCCGCGUCUGAUUAGCUAGUUGGUGAGGUAACGGCCCACCAAGGCGACGAUCAGUAGCUGGUCUGAGAGGAUGAUCAGCCACACUGGGACUGAGACACGGCCCAGACUCCUACGGGAGGCAGCAGUGGGGAAUCUUGCGCAAUGAGCGAAAGCCUGACGCAGCCAUGCCGCGUGAAUGAUGAAGGUCUUAGGAUUGUAAAAUUCUUUCAGCGGGGACGAUAAUGACGGUACCCGCAGAAGAAGCUCCGGCUAACUUCGUG
This 433-nucleotide ribosomal RNA is filed under the name uncultured bacterium. Its description in RNAcentral is "partial 16S ribosomal RNA". It matches the Rfam family "Bacterial small subunit ribosomal RNA", at positions 29 to 507 of the family's 1533-position model. The record is from RNAcentral.